UCGAAAUUGGGAAUGUUCAAUUUCACUUGAAGUAGAGUACAUGCACAUGAAUUUGUCAAAGUUGCAUUCCGUACUAGUUGUCCUUGAAUGACAAAUGAUUUUGCUUGGAUGAUAUUUAUAGGAUUGCUUAUGGAACUUUCAAUGCCACCACACAUGAGAGCAAGAAAAAGAACUAAGCAAACAACUUUGAUGAAAGUUGCCAUUGAAAAUUUUGUAUUAGCAACAACUUAAGUGAGAGAUUUUAUUGAUUUCUAAAUUAUCUUACCUAGCUUUAUAACAAUGCACAUACUUUGUUUUUUUUUGAAAAGCCUUAUAAGGUGUAAAUAGUUUGUUUUUCUUUAUACUUUUUAUGAGCGAUUUAGCUCAUACACGUCAA
This 376-nucleotide long non-coding RNA is filed under the name Capsicum annuum. Its description in RNAcentral is "long non-coding RNA (CANN_LNC014495)". The record is from RNAcentral. Lineage: Eukaryota; Viridiplantae; Streptophyta; Magnoliopsida; Solanales; Solanaceae.